UCCUACGGGAGGCAGCAGUGGGGAAUAUUGGACAAUGGGCGAAAGCCUGAUCCAGCCAUGCCGCGUGUGUGAAGAAGGUCUUCGGAUUGUAAAGCACUUUAAGUUGGGAGGAAGGGCAGUAAGUUAAUACCUUGCUGUUUUGACGUUACCGACAGAAUAAGCACCGGCUAACUCUGUGCCAGCAGCCGCGGUAAUA
RNAcentral lists this ribosomal RNA (196 nucleotides) under uncultured Gammaproteobacteria bacterium. Its description in RNAcentral is "partial 16S ribosomal RNA". It matches the Rfam family "Bacterial small subunit ribosomal RNA", at positions 337 to 525 of the family's 1533-position model. The record is from RNAcentral. Lineage: Bacteria; Pseudomonadati; Pseudomonadota; Gammaproteobacteria.